AUUACAUCAGUAUUCAGAUUUUGUUUUGGUCAACAGAUGACGCAUUUUCCAUUCGAGUAGACUAUUAAGUGACGGGGCGAAGCAGGCCCUUCUACAGGCUGCCAACCCCUGCGGAAUGGCGGAGGACGGGCCCCGACCGCGUGAUGGAUAUUUUCGAGGGCUGGGACCCGAGACUCGAAUACAGGCCUCCAGAGUGGAAAGCCGAAGCGUUUCCAUGCGGCCAAUACGGCCGACCUCGAUAUUCCAGUUAGGUUACUUAAGCCGCCAUAUCGUACCAGGGAUAUUCUAUAUGUGGCAGCGGCCAUUUAUAGAGCCCGUUACAGGCUGACCAACAUCCAUGAUGGGGCCCGGACCCCUUCUGAAAAACUGAUAUCAGUAUUUGGAAAUUUUAAUAUAGGCUUAAUCUUCAUUAUACUCUAUAAUUCAACGAAAACUAUAUAUUUCUAUUCAUCAAAUUAUUGUUUUAAAGCUGACAGAUAGAAACUAACUCAUAUAUUUGUAAGUAAUAUCUAAUACUACUGGUUACGGUGCCAUUAAUCUAGGGUGC
Molecule: long non-coding RNA, 547 nt
Filed under: Androctonus crassicauda
Lineage: Eukaryota; Metazoa; Arthropoda; Arachnida; Scorpiones; Buthidae
Source: RNAcentral